UGGGGAAUAUUGCACAAUGGGCGCAAGCCUGAUGCAGCCAUGCCGCGUGUGUGAAGAAGGCCUUCGGGUUGUAAAGCACUUUCAGCGGGGAGGAAGGCGAUAAGGUUAAUAACCUCAUCGAUUGACGUUACCCGCAGAAGAAGCACCGGCUAACUCCGUGCCAGCAGCCGCGGUAAUACGGAGGGUGCAAGCGUUAAUCGGAAUUACUGGGCGUAAAGCGCACGCAGGCGGUCUGUCAAGUCGGAUGUGAAAUCCCGGGGCUCAACCUGGGAACUGCAUUCGAAACUGGCAGGCUAGAGUCUUGUAGAGGGGGGUAGAAUUCCAGGUGUAGCGGUGAAAUGCGUAGAGAUCUGGAGGAAUACCGGUGGCGAAGGCGGCCCCCUGGACAAAGACUGACGCUCAGGUGCGAAAGCGUGGGGAGCAAACAGG
Molecule: ribosomal RNA, 429 nt
Filed under: Chloroflexota bacterium
Lineage: Bacteria; Bacillati; Chloroflexota
Description: Chloroflexi bacterium partial 16S ribosomal RNA
Rfam family: Bacterial small subunit ribosomal RNA
Source: RNAcentral